AAUAAAAUGCCUGAAAAAGGACUAUCUUGAUAGGAUAUUUCAUGUACUCUGUACUUUUAUUA
RNAcentral lists this transfer RNA (62 nucleotides) under Ornithodoros savignyi. RNAcentral describes it as "tRNA-Ile". The record is from RNAcentral. Lineage: Eukaryota; Metazoa; Arthropoda; Arachnida; Ixodida; Argasidae.